UGGGUUUAAAGGGAGUGUAGGCGGUUUGUUAAGCGUGUUGUGAAAUUUAGGUGCUCAACAUUUAACUUGCAGCGCGAACUGUCAGACUUGAGUACACGCAACGUAUGCGGAAUUCAUGGUGUAGCGGUGAAAUGCUUAGAUAUCAUGAAGAACUCCGAUUGCGAAGGCAGCAUACGGGAGUGUAACUGACGCUUAAGCUCGAAGGUGCGGGUAUCGAACAGGAUUAGAUACCCUGGUAGUCCGCACAGUAAACGAUGGAUGCCCGCUGUUAGCGCCUGGCGUUAGCGGCUAAGCGAAAGCAUUAAGCAUCCCACCUGGGGAGUACGCCGGCAACGGUGAAACUCAAAGGAAUUGACGGGGGCCCGCACAAGCGGAGGAACAUGUGGUUUAAUUCGAUGAUACGCGAGGAACCUUACCCGGGCU
RNAcentral lists this ribosomal RNA (423 nucleotides) under uncultured bacterium. RNAcentral describes it as "bacterial SSU rRNA". It matches the Rfam family "Bacterial small subunit ribosomal RNA", at positions 555 to 981 of the family's 1533-position model. The record is from RNAcentral.